UAUUGCUGAGAUUUUUUUUCCUCUGUUUUUUCACAAAUGGGGCACAUUUCCAGGUUCUCCUUAUUAAUAUAUGUGGAAAAGGGAAUGACCCAACUGAUUCUUGCCAUGAUUUUCCUUUCCCUGACAUCUCUGUUUAUGGUGUUGCUGUAUAUCUUUCCCUGCUGUUCAAAGGUCUGCAGCAUUUUAGGUACAAAGAUUACAGUCCAUGGGAAAUGCUCUCUGACAGCACCUUCAGCCUAGAAAUGGCAAUGAAAAAAAGAAAAAAAAAAAAAAAAAAGAUCUAAAAUAUUACACAUUCCUCUGCUCUGCAAUACUCAUUGGAAUUUAUGAGUUUAUGGCCGUCUUGCACCUAAAGUCAACACAUUAAAUUUGCUCUGUUGCAAUUUCCCCCAAGCAAUUUCUCCCUGCCUCUCCCUUGCGUGCAUUCGUUGCAGGAAAGGGUAGAAGAGGAGAGGCAGAAAGUCGUGGCCGAAAUCAAGGAGCUGCACCAGUUUGUGGAGCGACAGGAGCAGCUCCUCCUGGGCCAGCUAGCCAAGCUGGACCAGGAGAUCGUGAGGAGGCAGGAGGAGAACAUCGCCAAGAUCUUGGAGGAGAUCUCCUCCGUGGGUGAGCAGAUCCGUGAGCUGGAAGAGAAGUGUCAGCAGCCAGCAUAUGAACUCCUACAGGCUUGAGAAAGAGUGCGCCCAGAAGCCAUUGGAGGCAUCGCCUGAGCUGGCCGAGAUGCCCACAAGUCUUCCCCAGAAGAACAUUGCCCUCAAGGAGAUGCUGAUGAAAUUUCAAGGUAGAGAGAAACCGGGGAGGAGAGGGCUGGAGGUUGCACCUGGGUCUGGAUUUCAGGAAGAUCUCAGCAGAGGAGAAGUCCUGGUGCAAUGUGGCAAAGAGAAACCUCCAACAUGCCCCGUGUAUUAGCAUAGCAAGGUGCAAUUAACUCUGGCUGAUUGCGUGAGGGAGGAUGAGUUUGCCUCCUGGCAGGACUUGGGGAGCCAGGUCAGCACUGGGAUGCCUGCGGGAUGUCACGUAGAGUCCUGCUCAGCAGCAGCUCUAGGAACAAGGCGAACAUUGCAAACAUUUCCCUGUGGAGCUGCUGGGAACACUGGUGACCUUAAAACAAAAAAAAAAAAAAAAAAGGAAGGUCAAGGGACAAUG
RNAcentral lists this long non-coding RNA (1146 nucleotides) under Anas platyrhynchos platyrhynchos (common mallard). RNAcentral's name for it is "lncRNA (ENSAPLG00000028601.1)". Lineage: Eukaryota; Metazoa; Chordata; Aves; Anseriformes; Anatidae. The record is from RNAcentral.